This 378-nucleotide unclassified non-coding RNA is filed under the name plant metagenome. RNAcentral describes it as "partial contains 5.8S ribosomal RNA, internal transcribed spacer 2, and large subunit ribosomal RNA". The stretch from base 1 to 105 matches the Rfam family "5.8S ribosomal RNA", at positions 50 to 154 of the family's 154-position model. The record is from RNAcentral.
GAAAUGCGAUAAGUAAUGUGAAUUGCAGAAUUCAGUGAAUCAUCGAAUCUUUGAACGCACCUUGCGCUCCUUGGUAUUCCUUGGAGCAUGCCUGUUUGAGUAUCAUGAAAUCUUCAAAGUAAAUCUUUUGUUAACUCAAUUGGUUUCUACUUUGGUAUUGGAGGUCUUUGCAGCUUCACACCUGCUCCUCUUUGUUCAUUAGCUGGAUCUCAGUGUUAUGCUUGGUUCCACUCGGCGUGAUAAGUUAUCUAUCGCUGAGGACACUGUAAAAGGUGGCCAAGGUAAAUGCAGAUGAACCGCUUCUAAUAGUCCAUUGACUUGGACAAUACUUUUAUGAUCUGAUCUCAAAUCAGGUAGGACUACCCGCUGAAAUUAAGC